Molecule: transfer RNA, 65 nt
Filed under: Hiatula chinensis
Lineage: Eukaryota; Metazoa; Mollusca; Bivalvia; Cardiida; Psammobiidae
Description: tRNA-Leu
Source: RNAcentral
CUCAGAAUAGUAAAAUAUAAUACGCUGGAGUUAAGGUUCAGAGAUGGGCUACUGUUCUUCUGAGA